GCUCUAGUAGCUUAGUUUAAAAGCGUCGGUCUUGUAAUCCGAAGAUCGGGGGUUAGAUUCCCCCCUGAAGCC
Molecule: transfer RNA, 72 nt
Filed under: Oxygymnocypris stewartii
Lineage: Eukaryota; Metazoa; Chordata; Actinopteri; Cypriniformes; Cyprinidae
Also listed under: 3 other names
Description: tRNA-Thr
Rfam family: tRNA
About the family: Transfer RNA (tRNA) molecules are approximately 80 nucleotides in length. Their secondary structure includes four short double-helical elements and three loops (D, anti-codon, and T loops). Further hydrogen bonds mediate the characteristic L-shaped molecular structure. tRNAs have two regions of fundamental functional importance: the anti-codon, which is responsible for specific mRNA codon recognition, and the 3' end, to which the tRNAs corresponding amino acid is attached (by aminoacyl-tRNA synthetases). tRNAs cope with the degeneracy of the genetic code in two manners: having more than one tRNA (with a specific anti-codon) for a particular amino acid; and 'wobble' base-pairing, i.e. permitting non-standard base-pairing at the 3rd anti-codon position.
Source: RNAcentral